UUUAAUUCGAAGCAACGCGAAGACCUUACCAAAUCUUGACAUCCUUUGACCGCUCUAGAGAUAGAGUUUUCCCCUUCGGGGGACAAAGUGACAGGUGGUGCAUGGUUGUCGUCAGCUCGUGUCGUGAGAUGUUGGGUUAAGUCCCGCAACGAGCGCAACCCUUAAGCUUAGUUGCCAUCAUUAAGUUGGGCACUCUAGGUUGACUGCCGGUGACAAACCGGAGGAAGGUGGGGAUGACGUCAAAUCAUCAUGCCCCUUAUGAUUUGGGCUACACACGUGCUACAAUGGAUAAUACAAAGGGCAGCGAACCCGCGAGGUCAAGCAAAUCCCAUAAAAUUAUUCUCAGUUCGGAUUGUAGUCUGCAACUCGACUACAUGAAGCUGGAAUCGCUAGUAAUCGUAGAUCAGCAUGCUA
RNAcentral lists this ribosomal RNA (414 nucleotides) under uncultured bacterium. RNAcentral describes it as "bacterial SSU rRNA". It matches the Rfam family "Bacterial small subunit ribosomal RNA", at positions 945 to 1359 of the family's 1533-position model. The record is from RNAcentral.